Non-coding RNA from Pelobates cultripes (western spadefoot toad), 86 nucleotides. NCBI's taxonomy places the organism in Eukaryota, Metazoa, Chordata, Amphibia, Anura, Pelobatidae. The record is from the annotation of a GenBank genome assembly.
ACUAUAGUGAUAGAUGGGGGAGUAGGGUCACUAUAGGGGUAGAUGGCCCCCCAUCUACCCCUAUAGUGCCCCUGCUCCCCCAUCUA